UUUAAAGGGAGCGUAGGGGGAUUGUUAAGUCAGUUGUGAAAGUUUGCGGCUCAACCGUAAAAUUGCAGUUGAUACUGGCAGUCUUGAGUGCAGUAGAGGUGGGCGGAAUUCGUGGUGUAGCGGUGAAAUGCUUAGAUAUCACGAAGAACUCCGAUUGCGAAGGCAGCUCACUGGAGUGUAACUGACGCUGAUGCUCGAAAGUGUGGGUAUCAAACAGGAUUAGAUACCCUGGUAGUCCACACAGUAAACGAUGAAUACUCGCUGCUUGCGAUAUACAGUAAGCGGCCAAGCGAAAGCAUUAAGUAUUCCACCUGGGGAGUACGCCGGCAACGGUGAAACUCAAAGGAAUUGACGGGGGCCCGCACAAGCGGAGGAACAUGUGGUUUAAUUCGAUGAUACGCGAGGAACCUUACCCGGGCUUAAAUUGCAAAUGAAUUAUGGGGAAACCCAUACGCCGCAAGGCAUUUGUGAAGGUGCUGCAUGGUUGUCGUCAGCUCGUGCCGUGAGGUGUCGGCUUAAGUGCCAUAACGAGCGCAACCCUUAUCUUCAGUUACUAACAGGUCAUGCUGAGGACUCUGGAGAGACUGCCGUCGUAAGAUGUGAGGAAGGUGGGGAUGACGUCAAAUCAGCACGGCCCUUACGUCCGGGGCUACACACGUGUUACAAUGGGGGGUACAGAAGGCCGCUACCUGGUGACAGGAUGCCAAUCCCAAAAACCUCUCUCAGUUCGGAUCGAAGUCUGCAACCCGACUUCGUGAAGCUGGAUUCGCUAGUAAUCGCGCAUCAGCCAUGGCGCGGUGAAUACGUUCCCGGGCCUUGUACACACCGCCCGUCAAGCCAUGAAAGCCGGGGGUACCUGAAGUACGUAACCGCAAGGAGCGUCCUAGGGUAAAACUGGUAA
This 901-nucleotide ribosomal RNA is filed under the name uncultured organism. RNAcentral's name for it is "SSU rRNA". It matches the Rfam family "Bacterial small subunit ribosomal RNA", at positions 559 to 1474 of the family's 1533-position model. The record is from RNAcentral.